AUACGGAGGGAGCAAGCGUUGUUCGGAAUCACUGGGCGUAAAGCGAGUGUAGGUUGUCAGGUAAGUAGGAUGUGAAAGCCCGGGGCUCAACCCCGGAAUUGCAUUCUAAACUGCCUGGCUAGAGUCCCGGAGAGGGAGGUGGAAUUCCGAGUGUAGAGGUGAAAUUCGUAGAUAUUCGGAGGAACACCAGAGGCGAAGGCGACCUCCUGGACGGUGACUGACACUGAGACUCGAAAGCGUGGGGAGCAAACAGGAUUAGAUACCCUUGUAGUCC
RNAcentral lists this ribosomal RNA (274 nucleotides) under uncultured bacterium. Its description in RNAcentral is "partial 16S ribosomal RNA". It matches the Rfam family "Bacterial small subunit ribosomal RNA", at positions 523 to 796 of the family's 1533-position model. The record is from RNAcentral.